Molecule: long non-coding RNA, 1319 nt
Organism: Octodon degus (degu)
Lineage: Eukaryota; Metazoa; Chordata; Mammalia; Rodentia; Octodontidae
Exons: 3
Source: RefSeq, a predicted model, not a curated record
CCCGGGAAUUGUCAACAAAGGGGCGAGGGACGCGCCACUCUGCGGGCCCGUGGGCCCCACGCACCCCGGCCCGCUCCAGAGGGCGCGGGGAGCGCGCGGGGUACCCCCGCCAAGUCGAGCCCGGCCCGCCGGGGGACACCUCCGGCGCGCGCCCUCCCGCCAGUCCUGCGUCCCCGCUGGGCCCACCCACGUCCCGGCACGGUUUUCUGUUUUUUUCUGCGCGUUCGUCGCUGCAUCAGCUGGGAUUCCCAAAGGUCAGAAAGUAGCUAUCGAUUAAUCUAUUUGAACAGUUGCGGAGAGAAAUAAAAACGAAGUAAAAGAACAGGCAACUUAUAAAUGAGGAAGCGGCGGCCUUGGCUUAGAAUUGUUACCCGGCUUAGCAUAUGAAAAAGUCGGAAAUGCGGUGCCGCCCGGGCCGCUGCGGGAGAGCCGAGGCCUGAGCCACUAUUAGACGCCGCGGGCUGGGGCUGGGUCCCCUUGGCUGCCCAGACGCGCCUUUCCUCUCAGAGGGCAGGGACCCCGGGACGCGCGUGCAGAGCUCCUCGCAGCAGAGUCAGCGACUGUAGGAAAGAGCCUGGGCUCCCAGGGGGCGCGGCGAGGGGGCGUGGGGACCUCGCGCCGCCCCGAGAAAGCCACGGCCCAGCCCGCGCCCCCUCCCGCUCCGAGCUGCCCGGCUGUGAGGUCGGCUGGAGUGCGGAGUCCGUGUCACCCACAGGUUCGGGCCUGGGAGGCCGGGCUCGGAGGGACGAGGCCCAGAAGAGAGGCUGAGUGGAACGUUUCAGGGAGGCUCUGGGAAGCCGACCUAACUCUGAGAACUGCUGCUUGAUUCCCAACCUGUCCCACUGAGCACGCUCUUUCCCCCGCGCACCAACUAUCUCAGGUUGGCCUGCCGACUCCAAACACGUCUAGACGGCCUCCCGCAAAACCCAUUCGAGCUUCGAGCCGGCCUCCCACCUUCUCCGCUGCAGAGGUAGCCAUUGCCACUGGCCGAACACCAAGUCCAAGCAAGGUCGGACGGAAAAGGAAAAGCUGCCGAAAUUGGCACAUUUCGAAACUCUUUUAGUCUAGUUUGGGGUGCCCGACCCCUGUCAGGCGCGGCCCGCUUGGUCCUGGGCUAGGCCCGCGUGGAUGUUUUCAAGCGUAUGCGUUCGAGGGUAGCGGCUCGGGUGGCCACGCCGGUCACUUUGAGGCCGUCCCCAGACACACCGCGCCUGGGUCCCUGAGGCCCGGUCUGAGCACGCAGUCCCUGGAGAGGGGUUGGCGAACAACGCCCAGCUGCCGGUUCCAUUUGUUGCGCUUUUCUCCUUCGACACAAUAAA